Molecule: ribosomal RNA, 991 nt
Filed under: Clostridioides difficile
Lineage: Bacteria; Bacillati; Bacillota; Clostridia; Peptostreptococcales; Peptostreptococcaceae
Description: partial 23S ribosomal RNA
Rfam family: Bacterial large subunit ribosomal RNA
Source: RNAcentral
UUUAACUGAGCGUUCAGUUACUUGACGUAGACCCGAAACCGGGCGACCUACCCAUGAGCAGGAUGAAGCGAAAGUAAAAUUUCGUGGAGGUCCGAACCCACGAGCGUUGAAAAGCUCGGGGAUGACUUGUGGGUAGCGGUGAAAUUCCAAUCGAGCCCGGAGAUAGCUGGUUCUCCCCGAAAUAGCUUUAGGGCUAGCCUCAAGGUGAGAGAUACGGAGGUAGAGCACUGAAUGUCCUAGGGGGUAUUGCACCUACCGAAGACUAUCAAACUCCGAAUGCCGUCAUCUUAUACUUGGGAGUCAGACUGUGGGUGAUAAGAUUCAUAGUCGAAAGGGCAACAGCCCAGAUCGUCAGCUAAGGUCCCUAAAUGUAAGUUAAGUGGUAAAGGAUGUGGGAUUGCACAGACAACCAGGAUGUUGGCUUAGAAGCAGCCACUCAUUCAAAGAGUGCGUAAUAGCUCACUGGUCGAGUGAUCCUGCGCCGAAGAUUUCCGGGGCUAAAACUUACUACCGAAGCUACGGCAUCAGUAAUGAUGGGUAGGGGAGCUUCCCAUACGGGUUGAAGCAUGACCGUAAGGACAUGUGGACAGUAUGGGAGUGAGAAUGUUGGCAUGAGUAGCGAGAUGUGGGUGAGAAUCCCACAGGCCGUAAACCCAAGGUUUCCAGGGGAAGGUUCGUCCGCCCUGGGUUAGUCGGGACCUAAGCUGAGGCCGAAAGGCGUAGGUGAUGGACAACAGGUUGAUAUUCCUGUACUACCGAUAACCGUUUGAGAGAAGGGAUGACACAGUAGGAUAAGCUAAGCACACUGUUGGUUAUGUGUGCCCAAGCAUUGAGGCAGUCAAAGUAGGCAAAUCCGCUUUGAUAAUGCUGGGAUGUGAUGGGGAGCGAAAUUUAGUAGCGAAGUAGCUGAUUUCACACUGUCAAGAAAAGUCUCUAUCGAGGUUAAAGGUACCCGUACCGCAAACCGACACAGGUGGGUGAGGAGAGUAUC